GCACCUUCGGAUGAGGAAAAAUGCGCUCACGAAGGGAAGCGACGGAGAGCAAAUUUAGUGAAAAUGAGAGAAAUAACGGGCAGGAGACAGGGGGUGUUACGAGCCAAUGACCUCCUCCUCGGUGCCUUUUGACGGAGCUGUGAGCGGAGUCCCUUGGGCACAGAUUUAUCAACAAUAGGAAUCAUCCUGUUCUGAGUACCAGAUACUAGAGAAAAAUAUCAGAAGACUGUUGUCCUCCCAUUCUGCUUGGGAGGUUUCCAGAAGCAUCUGGCUGCAUCUACAUCCAUACGGUAUACUCUGUUUAGGAUAA
This is a long non-coding RNA of Sphaerodactylus townsendi, 310 nucleotides long. RefSeq lists it as uncharacterized. NCBI's taxonomy places the organism in Eukaryota, Metazoa, Chordata, Lepidosauria, Squamata, Sphaerodactylidae. The record is from RefSeq and is a predicted model, not a curated record. The transcript has 3 exons.